CUGUUGUAUGAAAGGAGAGAAGGCUAGCCCUCUGCUUGAGAGGGAUGCAAGAGGCCCUAGUGUAGCCUAGGUGCCAGUCUGUUU
Small nuclear RNA from Hucho hucho (huchen), 84 nucleotides. Lineage: Eukaryota; Metazoa; Chordata; Actinopteri; Salmoniformes; Salmonidae. The record is from Ensembl.